RNAcentral lists this ribosomal RNA (253 nucleotides) under uncultured bacterium. RNAcentral's name for it is "partial 16S ribosomal RNA". It matches the Rfam family "Bacterial small subunit ribosomal RNA", at positions 524 to 776 of the family's 1533-position model. The record is from RNAcentral.
UACGGAGGGGGCUAGCGUUGUUCGGAAUUACUGGGCGUAAAGCGCACGUAGGCGGAUCAGCAAGUUAGGGGUGAAAUCCCGGGGCUCAACCCCGGAACUGCCUUUAAAACUGUUGGUCUGGAGGUCGAGAGAGGUGAGUGGAAUUCCGAGUGUAGAGGUGAAAUUCGUAGAUAUUCGGAGGAACACCAGUGGCGAAGGCGGCUCACUGGCUCGGUACUGACGCUGAGGUGCGAAAGCGUGGGGAGCAAACAGG